Molecule: long non-coding RNA, 947 nt
Organism: Mus musculus (house mouse)
Lineage: Eukaryota; Metazoa; Chordata; Mammalia; Rodentia; Muridae
Product: predicted gene, 57507
Exons: 3
Source: RefSeq, a predicted model, not a curated record
ACCCUUCCGCCCCCACGUUCUGACUGUGGCAUGAGCGGGUGCUUUCUCUUCUCCCCUCAGCCCACAGGGAUUUCCAAGACAGGUCCAGCUUGCUCUCUGCGACACAUCCCUUCUGUGUGAGUCUCUGUUUCAUUCAGCCAGCUGCAGCAGGGUGGAACGAGACAGUGUAGACCAAGGAAGUGGACAGGGUUUGAAGACUCGCAGCGUCAGGAAGGCUGAUAACCACUGUUGCGGACUGAAUAAAAGAGCUUCAGGUCCAGGUGGAAGAUUUCUUCAGGACAUGUGAGCACAGGAACACUUCAGCCCACGUGACUCCCUUUAGUCACCAACUGCCUGGGGAACCAGACAGUGUGCAUCACUGUCAAUGGGUCGUGGAAUGGAGGUGAGAGUUCUGUAGGUCACUGGCACAGCAAGCUGCUCUGUCACCUGUGCACAGAUGUGCGCUGGAUUUCCCCUGUAUGAGUGUCUUGGUUUCUCUCUUGUUAACCAACAAAUCACCUGCAGACCUUGUGGCUUUAGGUGUCAACGGGUUUCACCACUCCUGCGGUUCCUGGGGAUGGGGAAAUGAGGAAGAGUUUCACAAAACACUGCAGUGUCUGCAGCUGCGGCCCAGCGAGGGGUUGAGCAUACCAGGAGGGAGAUUGAGCUUUCUCCCAUCAUGGCUGCCUCAGGACCUCAACAAAGCCUCUGAAGAGCUCACCCAGCAAAUGGGGUGGCAGCUGCCUGGUCUUUUGCGACCCAGCCUUGGAGGUCACUUCCACCGUGCUUGUAGAUUGAAAUGGCCCCCAAAGUCUAGCUGGUGCAGGGGUGUGGCUCACACCUGUAAUCCCAGCCACUGGGAAGGCCUUGAGGUGGGAGGAACCCAAAUUUGAAGUCAGUCUGGGUUACAUAAUAAGACUCUUCACCAGAUAACAGCUAAAACAAACAAACAAACAAACAAACAAACA